UCCGUAGGUGGAUUAAUAAGUCAGAGGUGAAAUCCUGCAGCUCAACUGUAGAACUGCCUUUGAAACUGUUAAUCUUGAGUCAUUAUGAAGUGGUUAGAAUGUGUAGUGUAGCGGUGAAAUGCAUAGAUAUUACACAGAAUACCGAUUGCGAAGGCAGAUCACUAAUAAUGUACUGACACUGAGGGACGAAAGCGUGGGGAGCGAACAGGAUUAGAUACCCUGGUAGUC
Molecule: ribosomal RNA, 228 nt
Filed under: uncultured bacterium
Lineage: Bacteria
Description: partial 16S ribosomal RNA
Rfam family: Bacterial small subunit ribosomal RNA
Source: RNAcentral